GCCGCGGGAGCCACAGCACGCCCCUGGGACGCCCGCCCCGGCUUCCUGCUCCGGGCCGCAGCCAGCUCCCUCCCGGGGCAGGAGAUCGCAGGCCGGGCCCAGGCCCGGCACCCGCAGAGGCUGAGCUGCACAGCCGAGAGGCAGGAUGGUAUCAGAUAGAAAUGAGCUGGCGCAGCCAUGACAAGAAAACAAACAGCAGCAGCACCAUGCGGGAGGGAGGACAGUCACCUGCCGGAGCAGAGAGAGGGGGACCGCCAUCAUACAUGUGACCUUUACUGACCAAAUGCUGACCAUGAUCUGGUGCGUGACUAUAUUACUCAAUAGAAGAAGCCAGAAUGUCAACAGUGCCUUUCAUGUUUGGUUCAAGAUGAGCAUGAGAAGACUGACCAGCAAAAGGCUAGUCCGGUGACGUGUAAGUGGUUGACUGCCAACCCCAAGCAGUGCACAACCAAAUGUUCAGGAAUUUGAAAAUGUGUCAUGAGUGCCAAAAAGAAUCUGAAACAUUAGAACCGUGACUAAUCCCAUGGUAUGGGCUAAAACCAUGUGUCCAAGAGCAACAGUGUUAGGACUGAUGAAGAAGAGCCUAGAAAAUGGGAAGACUUUGGUAAGCAUGUGGCAGAUGUCCUGCAGAUUCACGUUCUGGAGUGACAACAGUCUUUCAGUUUCUCACACCAGGAAGACAACAUAACUUUUACUUUAGAAGGAUGAUCUGGGAAGGUUUCUCUGGGGAGAAGAAUUGCUGUUGUCAGCUCUCAGCAGCCGAAGAGGUCGCCUCUGGAGUGACUGGGGACUUCUGCAAGAGAAGCCCUGCAUCGGGGUCUCACCAUGCAGUUCAGGCUGGACUUGAGUCACUUUGU
Long non-coding RNA from Chinchilla lanigera (long-tailed chinchilla), 857 nucleotides. RefSeq lists it as uncharacterized. The record is from RefSeq and is a predicted model, not a curated record. NCBI's taxonomy places the organism in Eukaryota, Metazoa, Chordata, Mammalia, Rodentia, Chinchillidae. The transcript is spliced from 6 exons.